This 1741-nucleotide unclassified non-coding RNA is filed under the name Hevea brasiliensis (rubber tree). The record is from RNAcentral. Lineage: Eukaryota; Viridiplantae; Streptophyta; Magnoliopsida; Malpighiales; Euphorbiaceae.
ACUCCAAAACUAUAAACAUCACUCUUAUCAGUUAAUUGAUAUUUCCUGUAGUACUCAGGAUCUAGAUAACCAAGAGUACCUUGGGCACAAGUUGAUAUGUGACUCAAGUCACUAUGAGCUAAUCUUGAUAACCCAAAAUCCGAAACCUUAGCAUUUAAUUUCUCAUCGAGAAGUAUAUUGCUAGACUUCACAUCUCGAUGAUAAAUUGGAGGAACAGCUGAGAAAUGGAGGUAAGAAAGACCCUCAGCAGUGUCAUGAGCAAUUCGGAGACGCUGUGUCCAAGAUAGUUGUCCUCGUCCACCAGGUUUUAGACCUUGUAAUUGAUCAAGAAGAGUUCCAUUUUGAAUAUACUCAUAAACCAAGAUGGGUUGCUCAAGCUCAACACAGCAACCGAGCAAGCAUACAAGGCUUCUGUGAUUGACUUGGCAUAGAAUUCGGACCUCAUUGAGAACUUGAUCAGUGCCUUUGGUGUUUCCAAGCUUGGCACACUUGAUAGCUACAACAGUACCAUCAUCAAGAAUGCCUUUAUAGACUUCACCAUAGCCGCCAGCACCUAAAAGGUGGUCCUUAGAGAAACUAUUUGUUGCUCUCUUUAUUUCUCUGCCUGUAAAGAGUUUUGCUGCUCUAGUUCCUCCGGCAUUUAAGAUUUCUUCACGUUCCCUAGCCAGACGUUCUCUAGCUUCUUUAAUGCGCUUGUGGCGUUUGUAUAAGUGGAUGGCAAUGGUACCUAGCAAGAUUGCUGCACCUAGGCCAGAGGUCAAACCAGCUAUAAGUGCAGUCUUCGAUGAUCCCCCACAGCCUUCAGGAUUUUGACACGUCACAUUUUCAGCACAAAUCCCUUGAAUUGGAUCCCAUCGAAGCCCACCAUUACAGAAACACCUCCUGACCCCAGCCGUGUUCGGGUCAGGCCCACAAGUCGAGUUUCCAUCGCAACCGGCCUGAGACCCACACAGCGGUUCCUGAGGUAGUACCCAUUGGAUAGCAACUCCUGGGCUCGGCCACCUAUUCACUGGCAAACUCGGGUCCAAGUUAACAAAACUCGUGUAGGCCAUACACCCAGCCUCUCUAACCCGGAUCAUAUACGAUGUCGUGCCACCGCCAGCCUUGAAAGUACAACAGAUCGACGCAUCCUGACACGGCGACGCUAAUCCAGUGUUAACGUACAAUUGGCACAAGCUGUUCGCCGAGCAAUUCAACGGUGACCUUAGCAACGAGUCUGUACAGUUCAAGUACAUAACAGUAUUAUCACCGGUGAUGUUGAAAGGGAGUGAGCUGUUCAUCUGGAUGCCUUGGUGGACAAAAUCGGACGUGACGCAAGUGUUUGGCAAGAGACUUGCAGGCCGUAUCACGAGCCGUUGAAUUGAAGGGUUGAUGGAACUGAUUGGAUACGAGUUAUUAAGCGUGUCAAACAUGAGUGUACCAGCGUCACACCGGAUCUUAUACGAUUGGUCGCCGCAACUAGACCCCGUGCUGAAUGGGUAGGGGACUGGGGUAGAGCCACAGUUGGGACACCGAGUAGCGGAGAAGGCAGGCAUGGGGCAUGUUAGCAGCAGCGCCGCCGUAAAGAGGAGGGGGAGGAGGAGGUUUGGUAGUGGCCUCAUCGUGGCUUGAGGUUUUGGGGAAAUGAAGUGCCGGAGAUCGAGAGUUGGUGCCAUGAAGAAGACAGCGUUUGUUAAUUUAUUGGAGUGGCGAUUUUGGGCAGAUUUUAGAAGAUUCUUAUGGUGCAAAUUUCUGAUGUGGG